UGCCAGCAGCCGCGGUAAUACGGAGGGUGCGAGCGUUAAUCGGAAUUACUGGGCGUAAAGCGCAUGCAGGCGGUUGAUUAAGCGAGAUGUGAAAGCCCCGGGCUUAACCUGGGAACUGCAUUUCGAACUGGUCAACUAGAGUCUUGUAGAGGGGGGUAGAAUUUCAGGUGUAGCGGUGAAAUGCGUAGAGAUCUGAAGGAAUACCAGUGGCGAAGGCGGCCCCCUGGACAAAGACUGACGCUCAGAUGCGAAAGCGUGGGGAGCAAACAGGAUUAGAUA
RNAcentral lists this ribosomal RNA (279 nucleotides) under uncultured bacterium. RNAcentral describes it as "partial 16S ribosomal RNA". It matches the Rfam family "Bacterial small subunit ribosomal RNA", at positions 506 to 784 of the family's 1533-position model. The record is from RNAcentral.